Molecule: ribosomal RNA, 425 nt
Filed under: uncultured bacterium
Lineage: Bacteria
Description: partial 16S ribosomal RNA
Rfam family: Bacterial small subunit ribosomal RNA
Source: RNAcentral
GUGGGGAAUCUUAGACAAUGGGGGAAACCCUGAUCUAGCCAUGCCGCGUGAGCGAUGAAGGCCUUAGGGUUGUAAAGCUCUUUCAGCUGGGAAGAUAAUGACUGUACCAGCAGAAGAAGCCCCGGCUAACUCCGUGCCAGCAGCCGCGGUAAUACGGAGGGGGCUAGCGUUGUCCGGAAUUACUGGGCGUAAAGCGCACGUAGGCGGACCGGAAAGUCAGAGGUGAAAUCCCAGGGCUCAACCUUGGAACUGCCUUUGAACCGCCUGGGCGUGAGGUCGAGAGAGGUGAGUGGAAUUCCGAGUGUAGAGGUGAAAUUCGUAGAUAUUCGGAGGAACACCAGUGGCGAAGGCGGCUCACUGGCUCGAUACUGACGCUGAGGUGCGAAAGCGUGGGGAGCAAACAGGAUUAGAAACCCUAGUAGUCC